RNAcentral lists this ribosomal RNA (607 nucleotides) under uncultured soil bacterium. RNAcentral describes it as "bacterial SSU rRNA". It matches the Rfam family "Bacterial small subunit ribosomal RNA", at positions 55 to 705 of the family's 1533-position model. The record is from RNAcentral.
AUGCAAGUCGAACGGGCGUAGCAAUACGUUCAGUGGCAGACGGGUGAGUAACGCGUGGGAACGUACCUUUUGGUUCGGAACAACCCAGGGAAACUUGGGCUAAUACCGGAUAAGCCCUUACGGGGAAAGAUUUAUCGCCGAAAGAUCGGCCCGCGUCUGAUUAGCUUGUUGGUGAGGUAACGGCUCACCAAGGCGACGAUCAGUAGCUGGUCUGAGAGGAUGAUCAGCCACAUUGGGACUGAGACACGGCCCAAACUCCUACGGGAGGCAGCAGUGGGGAAUAUUGGACAAUGGGCGCAAGCCUGAUCCAGCCAUGCCGCGUGAGUGAUGAAGGCCCUAGGGUUGUAAAGCUCUUUUGUGCGGGAAGAUAAUGACGGUACCGCAAGAAUAAGCCCCGGCUAACUUCGUGCCAGCAGCCGCGGUAAUACGAAGGGGGCUAGCGUUGCUCGGAAUCACUGGGCGUAAAGGGUGCGUAGGCGGGUCUUUAAGUCAGGGGUGAAAUCCUGGAGCUCAACUCCAGAACUGCCUUUGAUACUGAGGAUCUUGAGUUCGGGAGAGGUGAGUGGAACUGCGAGUGUAGAGGUGAAAUUCGUAGAUAUUCGCAAGA